AGCAGUGACUAACAGCACGCUGUAAUUUACAUGUUUUCAUCUUCUGAAUAUGUCCCGCACUCUUCCCGUGUCUUUGUAUGCCAGACUUUGAGCAAGGUACUGGUGUAGCACAAAAUGAACAGGAGGGCCUUGCUUUUGAAUCAUUGAUGGUUUGAGGUGGUCUCAACCAGUCUUUGAAUUCUGGAAUUUGUAGCCAGGCAUGGCGAAACUUUUGCUUGUAGUUACUGCUACGUUUAAGUUUUUUUGAGCGACUAGGUUUAGGAGAUGAAUGAUUGGAGCUAUCUGUAUCCUCAUCAUAGCUUUCUUCACUCUCUUCUACAGCUGCUAAAGACAUGGUGAAGUCCUCAGAAACACCGUCGGGAUAAUAUGAACACUGUAAUGGGGCGAAGAUGCUAUUACCUUAUAUGCAAUUUCUUAAAAUAAUAGGUAUACUAAGGGUAUUAGGCCUAUAUAUUUUAUUUAGUUUUAACAAGGGUGAAAUAAUGAGUGUAGGCAAAACUAAUAUGACUGUAGACUACUCAUUAAAUAACAGUACCCUAGGGACUUGGGAGUUCAAGUAAGUAGUGACCUACGCCCCAGGGAGCAGUGUAUAAUAGCUAGGAAUAGAGCUAACAAGAUACUAGGAGUGUGACAAAUAGGAGUUCAGAGGUCAUUCUGAGUAAGGAAAUUCACCAACUUGACAUUUUCCUGAAAACCAGCACUAGGAGGGCGAUAAACUAAUACAAGAUAAACGGAAAAUUUGAUCAAGUAUACAACAACAACAUUCUGGCAAUCACUUUUAACAGCCUGAAAAGAAAAGUUAUCAUGAACAUAAAAACUUAGUGCUUAGUGUGUGUGGGACAUUCCCCUGAGGCAACUUUGUCUCCUUUAUUUUGGGUGCUUUUCUCGUGAUUUCCACCUCCAGAUGUUUACCAAACGUGUAAUUUUGGAUAUUCUUUAAAUAUGUGUAAAUUAUUAUCGUCUGAAAGGGUCCGUCACGGUGGGGCCGUCCUGGUAAACACGGGGCCGUGAGGGAGGACCGUCGCGGAGGGCCGUCGUGGUCAGGGGCCGUCUUGACCUGCUUCCAUGAUAAGUAGUCGAUAUACAACACGUCUGUUGUGGUUUUAUUUGGAGGACGGCUUUAGUAUGUCCACAGUGGGUCUUUAAAAGUAUACGAGCUGGCUCAGUUUUUCCCCUCUCACCCGUGGGCUGCACCAUUCCUCACCAAGGCAGGAGCCGCUGUUGGUUAGAAAAUUACCUAACACUGAAAAGGAAGGUGUGUGAAUAAGAGGAAGGGAGGAACGAGAGGAGGAGGACCUGAUGCAAAGCGUUACAGGUCAGAAGAAGAAGAAGAACCACCCCCUCCGCACCAUGGGCAGCACCGCACCAACUCCUGCCCACACACAGCCAUGGGUGAGGGAACGUCCUGCCUGGCCCUGCCCCUCACUGCCCCAUCGAGCACCUGCUGCCCUGCCCCCCACGCCACCUGCUCCCACGACACCUCUGUGCCCUGGCCGUGCUGCCCACCCUGACCUGCCCACGGUGCUGGCGGCGGCAGGCGUGCACCCUCACGGCAGGAAGCUGUCACCCGCCUCACCUGUGCCUUCCUCGGGAGGACGGGGCAGCCUGUGAGGCCCACAUGCCAGUCUGCGGGCCGUGGGAGUCACGUGUCACCCUCCCGAGCUGCCGGUCUUGGUGGUGCCCAGGCUGGAACACUCCCCGCCCAGUGUUGUGGCACCUGAGGAGGCACUGUGCUGACUUCAGUCCCCUGGGCCCAGCCUCCUCCUCCACGCAGCAGCGUCAGAGCCGAGACACUGCUGAGACCACCACUGGCAUUGACCACUGUGGUCAGUCUCCACACUCCAGGGAAAGUUUGCUGCUGCAAGGUCAACACAGUCCAGCCUCCUGCUGAGAAGGGCCCCGUAUGCCUGUGGGGAGGACGCCGGGGCCAGCGGGGCGGGGGCGGCAGUGUGUGUGGCCAGGAGACGACCCUUGUGCCCCGCGCAUCACCCCGCAGCCGUGGAGGAGACCAGCGGCCCACGGCAGGCAGCCACCCGCCUGCCUGUGCCUUCCUCAGCCCCCACUCGGCAGGGUCUCAUGACUUGUUCCAGUCCUGGUUGGUCUUCAAAGGAAAAAAAGGAAGAAGAUGAGAGGAGACCAGACUCAGCCCUCCAGUGAGCCCAGAGGACCAGACUCAGCCCUCCAGUGAGCCCAGGGGACCAGACUCAGCCCUCCAGUGAGCCCAGGGGACCAGACUCAGCCCUCCAAGAUGGUGUGGGAGAUGAGACCAGUCCUGUUGGGGAGAAGAGAAGACGCAGUGAGACCAGAUGAGCCA
Long non-coding RNA from Eriocheir sinensis (Chinese mitten crab), 2314 nucleotides. RefSeq lists it as uncharacterized. Lineage: Eukaryota; Metazoa; Arthropoda; Malacostraca; Decapoda; Varunidae. The transcript is spliced from 7 exons. The record is from RefSeq and is a predicted model, not a curated record.